Molecule: ribosomal RNA, 484 nt
Filed under: uncultured Sphingobacteriales bacterium
Lineage: Bacteria; Pseudomonadati; Bacteroidota; Sphingobacteriia; Sphingobacteriales
Description: bacterial SSU rRNA
Rfam family: Bacterial small subunit ribosomal RNA
Source: RNAcentral
AAACUUAAAGGAAUUGACGGGGCCCGCACAAGCGGAGGAACAUGUGGUUAAUUCGAUGAUACGCGAGGAACCUUACCUGGGCUAGAACGCAGAAUGACAGAUGCCGAAAGGUGUUUCCCAGCAAUGGGCAUUUUGCGAGGUGCUGCAUGGUUGUCGUCAGCUCGUGCCGUGAGGUGUCGGGUUAAGUCCCAUAACGAGCGCAACCCCUAUUGUUAGUUGCCAGCAGGUAAUGCCGGGGAUCUCUAACGAAACUGCCGGUGUAAACCGGAGGAAGGUGGGGAUGACGUCAAAUCAGCACGGCCCUUAUGUCCAGGGCUACACACGUGUUACAAUGGCCGAUACAACGGGCAGCCACCUGGUGACAGGGAGCUAAUCCUAAAAGUCGGUCUCAGUUCGGAUCGAAGUCUGCAACCCGACUUCGUGAAGCUGGAUUCGCUAGUAAUCGCAGAUCAGCCAUGCUGCGGUGAAUACGUUCCCGGGCCUU